RNAcentral lists this ribosomal RNA (495 nucleotides) under uncultured bacterium. RNAcentral describes it as "partial 16S ribosomal RNA". It matches the Rfam family "Bacterial small subunit ribosomal RNA", at positions 28 to 507 of the family's 1533-position model. The record is from RNAcentral.
GACGAACGCUGGCGGCGUGCCUAAUACAUGCAAGUAGAACGCUGAAGGAGGAGCUUGCUUCUCCGGAUGAGUUACGAACGGGUGAGUAACGCGUAGGUAACCUGCCUGGUAGCGGGGGAUAACUAUUGGAAACGAUAGCUAAUACCGCAUAAGAGUAGAUGUUGCAUGACAUUUGCUUAAAAGGUGCAAUUGCAUCACUACCAGAUGGACCUGCGUUGUAUUAGCUAGUUGGUGAGGUAACGGCUCACCAAGGCGACGAUACAUAGCCGACCUGAGAGGGUGAUCGGCCACACUGGGACUGAGACACGGCCCAGACUCCUACGGGAGGCAGCAGUAGGGAAUCUUCGGCAAUGGACGGAAGUCUGACCGAGCAACGCCGCGUGAGUGAAGAAGGUUUUCGGAUCGUAAAGCUCUGUUGUAAGAGAAGAACGAGUGUGAGAGUGGAAAGUUCACACUGUGACGGUAUCUUACCAGAAAGGGACGGCUAACUACGUG